GCAAUAUUUAUUGCAUACCAGGAGAGUCAAAAUGAUUUAUUUCUCCCUUAUAUUGCAUUUCCGUAACUUUUACAGUAUUAAAAUGAUUAACAAAAGCAUAAAACUGGAAACAAAAACAAUCAUUGAGACUGUCUCCCCUGGCACCCCACAGCCCAUCAUCAGCAGGGACUGCACUGUGUAUUCACACCCACACGGAGAGGCUGAGAUUCAGUCCUUGUAACAGGAUAUACUCUGUUCUCAGAAGGGAAUAAACUGCCUUUCCCAGGAAACAGGAAGGCACUCAAGGCAUGGGCUGCUGUAAGCCUGGCUGGUGGGAAUCCUCAAACAAGGUCCUGGUUCUUCACUGGAGAAGCACUCUCAGGGCACGUGCUUUAGAUGUCCAUGUCAAACUGCUCUUCUUCACCUACAUUCGCUUUCUCAUCGUAGUUCUGGACAUGGUUGUUCUCAAUCUUUAACUCCUCCACAAUUGGGCUGGUAACACCUGGAAUGUCCGGAAGGUCAGAAGGUGGUGUUUUGGCAACCGGAGAAUUACGGCACUCCAUCAGGAACUUACGGUCAUAAAUAAUCCUGGUUCCGCCCGGAGUGGUCCCGAAGACGGUGCCCCCAGGCGUGGUGCUGUAGUCGCCGGGCGGCAGCGGGGCGCCGUCGGGCAGGGCCAGGCGCUUGCCAGGGCCCGGGAUGUCGCGGCUCGGCGUCUGUCCCUGGCAGCAGCGGCCCGACAUGGCGCCGGGACACGGGCUGCUGCUGCUGCGGCCGCCCCGCCGCCUGCCCGCCGCUUCCGGUGCAAGCCACGCCCCUUCCGCCGCGAGGUGCGAUGGGAAACGGGGCGGGGCGGGGCUUAGGCCAUGGGCGGGGGCUACGCUG
RNAcentral lists this long non-coding RNA (864 nucleotides) under Gallus gallus (chicken). Lineage: Eukaryota; Metazoa; Chordata; Aves; Galliformes; Phasianidae. The record is from RNAcentral.